UCCUAAAAACACAAAGUUUUGGUCCUAAACUUGCCAUUGUUUUUAAUCAAAAUUACACAUGCAAGCCUCCGCACCCCAGUGAGAAUGCCCACAUACCCCUAAACAGCCAAACGGAGCAGACAUCAGGAUCUCAACAACCGAAGCCUACAACGCCUUGCUACGCCACACCCACACGGGCAACCAGCAGUGAUUAACAUUAAAAAUGAGCGAAAGCUCGAUCUAGUUAUGAUUAAGCCAAGGCCGGUAAAUUUCGUGCCAGCCACCGCGGUUAUACGAGAGGCCUAAAACAAUGACCCUUCGGCGUAAAGCGUGACAAGAACCAACAUCAAAUCAUUGAAGGAAAACCAUACCAAAAUUGUAAAACAUUAUUGGCAUCCAGAGUAUCUCCAAUAAACGCCUUCAAACAAAAAGAUUGUUCAACCUCACGAAAGCUAGGAAACAAACUAGGAUUAGAUACCCUACUAUGCCUAGCCCUAAACACCGAUAGUUGUAUAUACAAAACUAUCCGCCAGAGAACUACAAGCGAAAAGCUCGAAACUCAAAGGACUUGGCGGUACUCCAUAUCACCCUAGAGGAGCCUGUCCUAUAAUCGAUACCCCACGUUCUACCUCACCACCCCUUGCAACUCAGCCUAUAUACCGCCGUCGCCAGCCUACCUUGUGAAAGAAAUAAAGUAGGCAAAAAAGUUAACAACUCACACGUCAGGUCAAGGUGUAGCACAUGGGGCGGAAGAGAUGGGCUACAUUUUCUACUAUAGAAAAUACAAAAGGUCUAAUGAAACCACACCCAAAGGUGGAUUUAGUAGUAAGAUAAAUAAGAGACUUUAUCUUAAACCCGCUCUGGAGCGCGCACACACCGCCCGUCACUCUCAUCG
Molecule: non-coding RNA, 874 nt
Filed under: Tiliqua adelaidensis
Lineage: Eukaryota; Metazoa; Chordata; Lepidosauria; Squamata; Scincidae
Description: partial 12S ribosomal RNA
Rfam family: Bacterial small subunit ribosomal RNA
Source: RNAcentral